Molecule: long non-coding RNA, 540 nt
Filed under: Homo sapiens (human)
Lineage: Eukaryota; Metazoa; Chordata; Mammalia; Primates; Hominidae
Description: non-protein coding lnc-CD248-1:1
Source: RNAcentral
GGACAUGGUGGCCGAGACCGGCGGGGUGGGGGACGUGUCGCGCGGCCGGGUGGCCUCGGUCGGUACCCUGGGCGCGGAGCAGCUGCCUCAUUAGUAUUCGUACCCACGAGGCGGCGCAGCGGGCCCUCGGGGACAGCGAGCGUCGCGGCCAUGGCUUAUCACUCGGGCUACGGAGCCCACGGCUCCAAGCACAGGGCCCGGGCAGCCCCGGAUCCCCCUCCCCUCUUCGAUGACACAAGCGGUGGUUAUUCCAGCCAGCCCGGGGGAUACCCAGCCACAGGAGCAGACGUGGCCUUCAGUGUCAACCACUUGCUUGGGGACCCAAUGGCCAAUGUGGCUAUGGCCUAUGGCAGCUCCAUCGCAUCCCAUGGGAAGGACAUGGUGCACAAGGAGGUGUGGCCUGCCCCCGGGGCACGGGUGGCAGAAUUUUUGGCUAGGGCUGGGGCAUCAUGGGAUUCCACCCGAUUCCUCACAGUGCCCUCAGGGAUGGAGCACACAGAGGGGCACCCUGAGGCCUGGGGUGCGGCUUGCCCACAGCUU